GUGUCAGCCGCCGCGGUAAUACGAAGGGGGCUAGCGUUGCUCGGAAUUACUGGGCGUAAAGGGCGCGUAGGCGGCUGUAUCAGUCAGGCGUGAAAUUCCUGGGCUCAACCUGGGGGCUGCGCUUGAUACGGUAUGGCUUGAGGACGGAAGAGGCUCGCGGAAUUCCCAGUGUAGAGGUGAAAUUCGUAGAUAUUGGGAAGAACACCGGUGGCGAAGGCGGCGAGCUGGUCCGUUACUGACGCUGAGGCGCGACAGCGUGGGGAGCAAACAGGAUUAGAUACCCUGGUAGUCCACGCCGUAAACGAUGUGCGCUGGAUGUUGGGUGGCCUAGCCACUCAGUGUCGUAGCCAACGCGGUAAGCGCACCGCCUGGGGAGUACGGCCGCAAGGUUGAA
This 394-nucleotide ribosomal RNA is filed under the name uncultured bacterium. RNAcentral's name for it is "bacterial SSU rRNA". It matches the Rfam family "Bacterial small subunit ribosomal RNA", at positions 505 to 898 of the family's 1533-position model. The record is from RNAcentral.